GUAACUAAAUUCUAACCAUAGAAAAAUAUUUUUUUUUAUAUUUUUCCUGAAAUUUUUUUACAAUUUACAAUUGAAUAGUAAUUUUUGAGAAUAAUCUGAUUUAAAUCAGUUUGGUGAUAAAUCUGAUGGUUAAGUUAAAAUAUAUGCAAUAAUACAGUGAAGAGAGAUUGCUAUGAAGAACAAAGGAGAAUACAUCAAGUAAAAUGGAAAGAAAUAGGGAUAAUUAUCUUUUGGGAACAUGCGUACGGGUCAUAGAUAUAAUUUCGUAAGAAAACCUCACCGAUUGUACCCUGCUUUUCAAUGAACCAAAAAAGAGUAACCUGGAGCAACAAUAUUGCAAUCGACAAAACCAAUAUGAGAUGGUUUCUGUUUUGGAGUAUUAUUGUUAUGAAGAUAUGUUUGUAGUCAAUUUGUAGUGGAUAAGAAAUAUAUGCGAGUUACUGGAAAUAUGAGCAUCCAUGCAGUAUUCAUCAGAAAGAAAAUUCAAUAGAAAAAUCAAGAAUCCAUCCAAGUGAAUUGUAUUUAUAGUGGUCUUUUUCUAAUAAAUCAUAAUAAAGUUUU
Sitophilus oryzae (rice weevil) is the source of this 561-nucleotide long non-coding RNA. RefSeq lists it as uncharacterized. Lineage: Eukaryota; Metazoa; Arthropoda; Insecta; Coleoptera; Curculionidae. The record is from RefSeq and is a predicted model, not a curated record. The transcript has 3 exons.